GUGUGAAAUCAUACCAGCACUAAUGCACCGGAUCCUAUCAAAAUUCCGCAGUUAAGCGUGCUUGGGCGCGAGUAGUACUAUGACGGGUGACCUCAUAGCCAUAGGAAGUCCUCUAUUGCACCCC
Non-coding RNA from Beta vulgaris subsp. vulgaris (sugar beet), 124 nucleotides. The record is from Rfam. NCBI's taxonomy places the organism in Eukaryota, Viridiplantae, Streptophyta, Magnoliopsida, Caryophyllales, Amaranthaceae.